RNAcentral lists this ribosomal RNA (229 nucleotides) under uncultured bacterium. RNAcentral's name for it is "partial 16S ribosomal RNA". It matches the Rfam family "Bacterial small subunit ribosomal RNA", at positions 524 to 751 of the family's 1533-position model. The record is from RNAcentral.
UACGGAGGGGGCUAGCGUUGUUCGGAAUUACUGGGCGUAAAGCGCACGUAGGCGGCUUUGUAAGUUAGAGGUGAAAGCCCGGGGCUCAACUCCGGAAUUGCCUUUAAGACUGCAUCGCUAGAAUUGUGGAGAGGUAAGUGGAAUUCCGAGUGUAGAGGUGAAAUUCGUAGAUAUUCGGAAGAACACCAGGUGGCGAAGGCGACUUACUGGACACAUAUUGACGCUGAGG